Molecule: ribosomal RNA, 600 nt
Filed under: uncultured bacterium
Lineage: Bacteria
Description: bacterial SSU rRNA
Rfam family: Bacterial small subunit ribosomal RNA
Source: RNAcentral
CUCUCUGAUUCAGCGGCGGACGGGUGAGUAAUGCCUAGGAAUCUGCCUGAUAGUGGGGGACAACGUUUCGAAAGGAACGCUAAUACCGCAUACGUCCUACGGGAGAAAGCAGGGGACCUUCGGGCCUUGCGCUAUCAGAUGAGCCUAGGUCGGAUUAGCUAGUUGGUGAGGUAACGGCUCACCAAGGCGACGAUCUGUAGCUGGUCUGAGAGGAUGAUCAGCCACACCGGGACUGAGACACGGCCCGGACUCCUACGGGAGGCAGCAGUGGGGAAUAUUGGACAAUGGGGGCAACCCUGAUCCAGCCAUGCCGCGUGUGUGAAGAAGGUCUUCGGAUUGUAAAGCACUUUAAGUUGGGAGGAAGGGCAUUAACCUAAUACGUUAGUGUUUUGACGUUACCGACAGAAUAAGCACCGGCUAACUUCGUGCCAGCAGCCGCGGUAAUACGAAGGGUGCAAGCGUUAAUCGGAAUUACUGGGCGUAAAGCGCGCGUAGGUGGUUCGUUAAGUUGGAUGUGAAAGCCCCGGGCUCAACCUGGGAACUGCAUCCAAAACUGGCGAGCUAGAGUAUGGCAGAGGGUGGUGGAGUUUCCUGUGUAGC